This is a long non-coding RNA of Cyprinus carpio (common carp), 1060 nucleotides long. NCBI's taxonomy places the organism in Eukaryota, Metazoa, Chordata, Actinopteri, Cypriniformes, Cyprinidae. The record is from Ensembl.
GUGACUGUGAAAGUCUCUGUUGUUGUAGAUGUUUCUGAAACACUAAAAGUGGAUGUUUCAGCUGCAGUUGUUGUUAGUGUGGAAGUCUCUGUUGUUGAAGAUAUUUCUGCUACAAUAAUAGUGGAUGUUUCAGCAGGAGUCGUGAUUGUGGAAGUCAUUUUUGUAGAUGUUUCUGCUACACUGAUAGUAGAGGUUUCAGCAGGAAUUGUUGUGAUUGUGGAAUUCUCUGUUGUAGUAGAUGUUUCUGUUGCACUAGUGGUGGGUGUUUCAGCAGGAAUUGUUGGGAUUGUGGAAGUCUCUGUUGUUGUAGAUGUUUCUGCUUCAAUAGUGGUGGAUGUUUCAGCAGGAGUAGUGAUUGUGGAAGUCUCUGUUGUUGUAGAUAUUUCUGCUGCUUUAGUGGUGGAUGUUUCAGCAGGAGUUGUUGUGAGUGUGGAAGUCUCUGUUGUUGUAGAUGUUUCUGCUUCAAUAGUGGUGGAUGUUUCAGCAGGAGUAGUGAUUGUGGAAGUCUCUGUUGUUGUAGAUAUUUCUGCUGCUUUAGUGGUGGAUGUUUCAGCAGGAGUUGUUGUAAGUGUGAAAGUCUCUGUUGUUGUAUAUGUUUCUGCUACACUAAAAGUGGAUGUUUCAGCAGAAGUUGUUGUGAGUGUGGAAGUCUCUGUUGUUGAAGAUAUUUCUGCUACACUAAUAGUGGAUGUUUCAGCAGGAGUCGUGAUUGUGAAAGUCUCCAUUGUUGUAGAUGUUUCUGCUACAUUGAUAGUGGAUAUUUCAGUAGGAAUUGUUGUGAUUGUGGAAGUUUCUGUUGUAGAAGAUGUUUCUGCUGCACUAGUGGUGGAUGUUUCAGCAGGAAUUGUUGUGAUUGUGGAAGUCUUUGUUGUUGUAGAUGUUUCUGCUGCACUAGUGGUGGAUGUUUCAGGAGGAGUCGUGGAUGUGAAAGUCUCCAUUGUUGUAGAUGUUUCUGCUACACUGAUAGUGGAUGUUUUAGCUGGAGUUGUUAUGAUUGUGGGAAUCUCUGUUGUUGAAAAUAUUUCUGUGACACUAGUGGUGGAUGUUUCAUCAGGAUUCG